RNAcentral lists this ribosomal RNA (253 nucleotides) under uncultured bacterium. RNAcentral's name for it is "partial 16S ribosomal RNA". It matches the Rfam family "Bacterial small subunit ribosomal RNA", at positions 524 to 776 of the family's 1533-position model. The record is from RNAcentral.
UACAGGGGGUGCAAACGUUGCUCGGAAUUAUUGGGCGUAAAGCGCGCGUAGGCGGUGACUCAAGUCGGAUGUGAAAGCCCUUGGCUUAACCGAGGAAGUGCAUCCGAAACUGAGUCGCUAGAGUACGAUAGAGGGUCGCGGAAUUCCCGGUGUAGAGGUGAAAUUCGUAGAUAUCCGGAGGAACACCAGUGGCGAAGGCGGCUUUCUGGACCGACACUGACGCUGAGGCGCGAAAGCUAGGGGAGCAAACGGG